RNAcentral lists this ribosomal RNA (484 nucleotides) under uncultured bacterium. RNAcentral's name for it is "bacterial SSU rRNA". It matches the Rfam family "Bacterial small subunit ribosomal RNA", at positions 30 to 507 of the family's 1533-position model. The record is from RNAcentral.
AUUGAACGCUGGCGGCAUGCUUUACACAUGCAAGUCGAACGGCAGCACGGGAGCAAUCCUGGUGGCGAGUGGCGAACGGGUGAGUAAUAUAUCGGAACGUGCCCAGUCGUGGGGGAUAACGUAGCGAAAGCUACGCUAAUACCGCAUACGAUCUACGGAUGAAAGCGGGGGAUCGCAAGACCUCGCGCGAUUGGAGCGGCCGAUAUCAGAUUAGCUAGUUGGUGGGGUAAAAGCUCACCAAGGCGACGAUCUGUAGCUGGUCUGAGAGGACGACCAGCCACACUGGAACUGAGAUACGGCCCAGACUCCUACGGGAGGCAGCAGUGGGGAAUUUUGGACAAUGGGCGCAAGCCUGAUCCAGCCAUGCCGCGUGCGGGAAGAAGGCCUUCGGGUUGUAAACCGCUUUUGUCAGGGAAGAAAUCUUCUGGGUUAAUACCUCGGGAGGAUGACGGUACCUGAAGAAUAAGCACCGGCUAACUACGUG